Ceratotherium simum simum (southern white rhinoceros) is the source of this 137-nucleotide non-coding RNA. The record is from RefSeq and is a predicted model, not a curated record. Lineage: Eukaryota; Metazoa; Chordata; Mammalia; Perissodactyla; Rhinocerotidae.
CAAUAGAAAGUUGACUUAAACCAUACUUCGAAUUUUGGUCUUUUCCCGGACUAGUGACAUGCGGUACAAUACUCUCUUGUGAAGCUGGGCAGCGGCAGCAAGCUGCAGCUCCCGGUCAUCCGCACGAUCACGAGGGU